Kogia breviceps (pygmy sperm whale) is the source of this 73-nucleotide non-coding RNA. Lineage: Eukaryota; Metazoa; Chordata; Mammalia; Artiodactyla; Physeteridae. The record is from the annotation of a RefSeq genome assembly.
UCCCUUGUGGUCCAGUGGCUAAGACUCUGCACCCCUAAUGCAGGGGAGCCAGGUUCAAUUCCUGGUUAGGGAA